GAUGAACGCUGGCGGCGUGCCUAAUACAUGCAAGUCGAGCGAACAGACGAGGAGCUUGCUCCUCUGACGUUAGCGGCGGACGGGUGAGUAACACGUGGAUAACCUACCUAUAAGACUGGGAUAACUUCGGGAAACCGGAGCUAAUACCGGAUAAUAUAUUGAACCGCAUGGUUCAAUAGUGAAAGACGGUUUUGCUGUCACUUAUAGAUGGAUCCGCGCCGCAUUAGAUAGUUGGUAAGGUAACGGCUUACCAAGGCUACGAUGCGUAGCCGACCGGAGAGGGUGAUCGGCCACACUGGAACUGAGACACGGUCCAGACACCUACGGGAGGCCGCAGUAGGGAAUCUUCCGCAAUGGGCGAAAGCCUGACGGAGCAACGCCGCGUGAGUGAUGAAGGUCUUCGGAUCGUAAAACUCUGUUAUUAGGGAAGAACAAAUGUGUAUGUAACUAUGCACGUCUUGACGGUACCUAAUCAGAAAGCCACGGCUAACUACGUG
RNAcentral lists this ribosomal RNA (497 nucleotides) under uncultured bacterium. RNAcentral's name for it is "partial 16S ribosomal RNA". It matches the Rfam family "Bacterial small subunit ribosomal RNA", at positions 28 to 507 of the family's 1533-position model. The record is from RNAcentral.